RNAcentral lists this long non-coding RNA (2085 nucleotides) under Bemisia tabaci. RNAcentral's name for it is "lncRNA ENSASIAIIG001818". Lineage: Eukaryota; Metazoa; Arthropoda; Insecta; Hemiptera; Aleyrodidae. The record is from RNAcentral.
AUGGCCCCGACGAUAAUGCAGUCGGACAACUACCUAUCAGCGAUGCCGCCUCUUUCGGCACUGUCGCCUCUCUCGGGGGCCGACUACUGCGGAGGCGGCGGCGUGGGCGGAGGGAGCGCUCUCUUCAAAUCCAUGAAGUACGCGGAGACGUGGCUCAACUUGACCGUGGCCGAGCGGGGGACGCCCGGGCACCGGCCGCGGCCCAAACUCCUCAUCAACGACCGGCCCCCGCCCCCCUUCUUCUUGCCCGCCAACCUCUGCACCUGCCCGGACUCGGGCCGCAACACCAGGAGCAAGAAGGCCACGUGCUCCAAGUGCAAGGGCCAGCGCAUCAAGUUCCAGCCGGAACCCGCCAAAAAGACCCGCUCCGCCGACCAGUUCUACUCCGUCCGGAUACCCAAGCAAGCCCCCAGUCGGAACCCCAUCUUCCGCUACGACGUCGACUUCUUCGAGGAUCCCUACUCGGUCAUGCGCCGGUGUCGCUUGCAGUCCCCGCCCAACGAGAAGCCCCUCGAAAAGUCGAAGAAGUCCAGGGCCAAGAGCAGUAGUCCUCCGAGCCGCCGGAAACGGAAAGAAGAGGAGACGCUCAUCAAGGGGAACCGGUGCCCGUCUCCGGACGAGAUUUCAAACCGCUUUGAGGACUACGUCAAACAGAAGGAGAAGGAAAACCAGAUCCUCAAUGGAGGUGGCCGGAGGUCGAUCUUAGAUUGUAGUGUCAACGCCUACGAGCUCAUAAGACUGAAAAACGACAAAGGCAACGAUCCGAGUCGAAAUAGGCCCGCUUCCAAGUUCAACACCCUCACCUCGACUUUGAACAAGAACAAACUCAUCAAUAGCAUUCUCAACCGCAAACCUCCAAGCGACGAAGCGAAGAAAUCUAGUCCUUUAGGCGUUAAAAUUGCCGGCCAAAGAAUCAACGUCUUCGACGAGAGCAAGCCGAGGAUCGACCCCGUCCACGAUCGGAUCGACGAGUUCGUCUACGAGUCGGACCACACGACCGAUUCGUACGAGACGGUUUGUUUCAACGGGUACCACGGCCCCGUUAAGAAUGGGUACCAUUCGAGCCAAGAGAGGCUGUCGCCCGUGAGGAACGGGUAUUCGACCAAUCAGGACAUCCCCGUUAAAAAUGGGUACUCCAGUAGUCAAGAGGCAAUCUCAUCCUCCAGGAACGGAUAUCACGACCAAGGAUUGGAAUCGUUCGGUCAUAGGAAUAGUCGGAAGGUUUCCCCCGGUAGAGGAAGACAUCGAGACAGUCAGGACGCAGCCUCGCCCAUGAAGAGUGAGUACCAAAAUAGUCAUGAACUCGAAAGGGAUCGGUACCCAAGUCAGGAUAGACUGUCUCCCGUACGUCCUCCAAGGAGGACCAAAGGUCAGGGUGACGAAAACGAGAGUCCAACGACGGAAAUGGCACCUCCGCCUCCUCCUGCUCUACCUGAAGUCCAGCAGGAAACCCUGAUCGUCCCGAAGAAUCGCGUCAAUUUCGAUCUGAAACAUGAUAGUUUCAGCAAUAAGAACAACACUCUAACAUCAUCUACUUCCUUAGAAAUCAAGUCGAUACUGAAGAAACCGCCCAAUUUCAACAAUCUCUUCAAUUUCAAUAGCAUCCUCGCCGAAGAUUCAUCCCACUCUCACGAGAGGGAACCCAGACAAGAACAAGAGAGGCACGAGAACCCGCCGCCGUCGGCCUACCAGUCAACGGUGAUUGUUCUAGAUGGCUCUGCCGCUCAGGCUGAUGCCAAAUCUACUAAUCUGAACAAGAAGAAGAAGCAAGUGCAGUUCAGGGAGAACAAGGUCGAGGUCAUACCCAGGAGUCCGGAAAAGCCGGACGAUAAGACGAAGUUCAACGCGUCGAUUGAACAGCCCGCGAGUUCGAGGCCCGACGAAUCUGUGACAAGGCAGCGAACGGAAAGUGAUCGAACGCCCGAUGAUGAUCUUAAAGGUCACUUUUCUGCACCCGCUGCUCGAUCCACCAUCGAAGUCGAUUCGACCACCCGAAGCACGGAUGGCAUCAACAUCUCUCCAACGGGUGAGUUUCUAUCGUAUUCUUUCCUCUUUUUAAUUGUAAUAGGUUUUAGAGCGCGCUGG